UAAAUACAGUUUUUCUCCUAAGGAAAUAAAGCACUACAAGCUGUGUGACUUGGGUACUUAGAGGAUUAUUUUCAUCUUGCAAUGCAUGUGAGAGUCAUUCAUUUUAUCAAUAUUUUAAGAAGAAAUAUUUUAAAAGAGUUUAUUAAAAAAGAAAGGUGUUAACAAAAGGUUUUGGGACUGCUUUCCUCUAGCCCAGGUAACAUUUUUGAAGAUGUUUUGGGUAAUGAAGCCCCUCAUGCUUGGCAAUACUAGUAGGAUUUUUAAUGAGUAUUCAGUCCCUAAAGGUAAUUUGGUCUGUCCAUUUUUUAAUCAUGGGAACAAAAUUAUUUCAACCCUUAUCUAUCAUCUGUUGUGUAUUUAGGAAGCAAUGUGUGCCUUAUGGUCCCUGUUCUUCAAUGUCAGCAGUGUAGUAUUAAAGGCAGUAGAGAGUAAACCCCAAUUGAGAGCAAAGAGAACAAACAUAGAGUGAUAGUGUGUCAUUUGUCUGUUUGAUUACAGUUAUAUUGGAGUAUAAAUUUACAUUACCAGUAAGAUACCAGCAUAAAACUAGGCCAAAAGAAUCAGCUUAAGGAGAAAGAGAAAGUUUUUUUUCUUUAUACUUAGACUUUGUGGCACUUCCAGUUUCUCCUUCUGUGCCUCAUGUGCUAUUGCCACAUUUCCCUCUUCUUUUAUUUUUUUCUUCAUUCUUCCAUUGUCACAUUUUCCACGGCAAUCAGUGAACUCCACAAUGUAAUUGAAGAUCCUAUUACAUCUCCAUUAAAGAAAAACCCCAGCAACCAACUUCAGCCAUGUCACACUUAUCUUCCUUUCAGUAAUGAACAUGUGCUUCUCUACUUCACUCUUGCACAACGUGGGGAAAAAGAGGAAAAGAAAAGGGGGAAGAGUAAGGUGUUAAUGAGUAAUCAGACCAGACUACUACCACCAUCACUAAGAAAGAAAUCAAUGUAUAACUUUAACUGUCAAAAGAAGUUUGCAAAGAGCUGUUGCAAUAACCAAGGAUUCAUGAUAUUCAACCACUGAGAUGUGUUCAUAGAAAGAGACUUUCCACUUGGAGGAUUUUCUCUCUGGAGACAGACUUGCCAAAGAUACCCUAUAGAAACCUCGGGGGCUUGUCAACAAUGGGGGAAUUUUUAUGAUAUAAUGGCUGGUGACUGGGAAAGGCUUUUAUUGAUUUCUGUAUCUGUUUGUAAAGGAAAAAAUGGCAAGUGAGUUUAUGACAGUAGAUAAUAAAAUAUUACUAGAUAGAUAGGAGAAAGAGCAACAUGGAAACAGCACCUCCUAUUAGUGAUGAGAAUGGUAGUCAGGUAAGUAACAAUGGGAGUGGAAAACAGGUAGUGCUAGUCCCAACAGUGUCAGCAGGAACAAGAGACUGCUUUUUAAUUCAGGGAACCUAUGGGACAAAAUGGAGGCAUUUAGUGAAUUCAUUCAGAAUAUAUAGUAUUAUACUACUGUAAAAAACCCCAGCGUAGUGGAAUAAUGUUUGUGACAGAUGUGUUGAAGGUUUUGCAUAGUUCAGGGAAGAAAAAUGGGAGAGAGAAAAGUAUGCAAAAUCCAGAAUAGAUAUGAGUUGAUGAUUGAUUCUAAGUGAGAAGAAUUCUAGGCAAAAGCACAGCUGUAAUUGAGGUUGUCAGUUUUAAUAGGACAUAUUUUGAUACAUAGGAGGAUAUGAAUGGGGAGGCACUGGGAUUUCUUUGAGUCAGAAGAGGAAAAUCUAUUAAAAUGUAUAUAUAAAGUGUGGGAAAGGGGAGGGAAACUUUUCAAAGACCUCUAAAAAUAAUGAGAAAAAGAUCAUUUCUAGAAGAAUGCAGGAUUUAAGAAAAAGAGCCUCCAAAGAGUAGAACAAAUGGAUUGAUGAAGAAAAUUAUCAUAUUUUGGAGAUCAAGAAAUACAGGGGUGAAAUCAGAUUUGACAAAAGUUAAACAAAGUUAGGUUCUACAAAGCUUAUAAAAAAAAAUCAGGUAUAUUAUAAUCUAUAUGAAUAAAAAGAAUAAUAAAAUCAGGGGCAUGGUCAAUCAAAUUGAAAAUUGGAAUAUUAUACAGAGAGAACCGGAUUAUCUUCAAAACUCAAAUUUAUAAAACUAUACAAUAUAUUCCUGGUGACAGGUAACCACAACUUUCAUUAAAAACUGGAUGGAUGAUCUGGAAGAAAUGACAGAGAAGGACCUGCUAUACAUCUGAGAACGGCUGUGAGAGACCAACCAGACACAAGAGUGAAGAAAAGUCAGAUGUGAUUGUAGAAAGUCCAGCAAGGUAUUUUCAAUGGAAGAAUAUUCAUACUAUUGCAGAACAUUGAGAUCUCACUUGGGAAGCCAUGUACGAUGUGAGUCACCCAUUCAAGAAAGAUGGGGGAUGGAGAGAUGCAGAGGGCCUAGAAGGGAAUGGCAAAUAUGUACUAGAAGAAGAAAAGUGCUUGACAGGCUUAAACAAAAGAGAGACUGACAAUAAUAUAUAUAUGUAUUAAAAAUGUGUCAGAAGUGUGAAUA
Long non-coding RNA from Strigops habroptila (Kakapo), 2483 nucleotides. RefSeq lists it as uncharacterized. The transcript has 3 exons. The record is from RefSeq and is a predicted model, not a curated record. Lineage: Eukaryota; Metazoa; Chordata; Aves; Psittaciformes; Psittacidae.